Long non-coding RNA from Xenopus tropicalis (tropical clawed frog), 949 nucleotides. RefSeq lists it as uncharacterized. The transcript has 3 exons. NCBI's taxonomy places the organism in Eukaryota, Metazoa, Chordata, Amphibia, Anura, Pipidae. The record is from RefSeq and is a predicted model, not a curated record.
CACCCCCGUUUCUCCGUUUCCCUUUCUCAUCACCCUCCCUUUUUCUCUCUCCAGUCCAUACGGCACUCAUGACUUUUCUUUAAGAUGAAAUUGUGUGUGUACUGUUCUCACCUACAUUCAAAUAUAGGAGGGCUCCCUGAUCUGUGGUUAAAAAGAAGGCAGCCACUGGGGCUGACAAGGGGCACCUGCAGUGGAUACAAGCACAGUAGUUUCAAAAGAAGAUAAUAAAGUGAAUAUCAUUAUUUUGUUGGACAGUUAACAACAACGGAUUGGCUCUGUCUCCUUCCAGCUAACUGGUAACCUGGAGAUAAUACAUUAGUUGUUCUUCUAUGCGGGAGCUGCCCUGGAACUUGCAGGCAAGAAUAGCCUGACCAUUUGUGGCUGCAACCCAGUUGUUUCAACAUGCAGAAGAUUUCAGGUUGAUGCUAUAAAGACAGGAUGGUGGAUCUGUGCAUUAUUUGAGCCUAUUGUGGUUUUUCCUGGGAAUAACAAAAGUGCAGAAGCUGCCUAUAACUGUAGAAAGUUCAGACCCUCAAUCAAAAUAGGAAUUGUUACUGGAAUAUUUACAAUCUUUGAGGUGGAAUAGCUGCCAGCCAUCUAUCCCUGAAAGAGCAUGAAGUGCAUUCUCCUAAUGCAAGUUUCACCCAAAACAACAAUUCCUUACUUGAAAGAUGACUCACAGCUUCUGAUACCUGGAAGGAAAUUCGAAAGAGACUAAAGCAUAUGAAAGUAAACAAAGGAUGCUUUCACUUUGCUAAGAAAUUUGAGAAGAAAUAUCAGUAGAAAUAACAAAACUGCAAGUUAUACACUAAGGGGAAGAUUUACUAAUCCACGAACGCUCCGAUCAUAUUUUCUGCGCCUUUUUCGUACCUUGCAUGACUUUUUCACCGCUUUCACAACUUUUUUGUACUUUGCGACAAAAUUUGUGCGACAAAAUCGUAUUGUCGCG